This 3007-nucleotide ribosomal RNA is filed under the name Salmonella enterica. Its description in RNAcentral is "23S ribosomal RNA". It matches the Rfam family "Bacterial large subunit ribosomal RNA". The record is from RNAcentral. Lineage: Bacteria; Pseudomonadati; Pseudomonadota; Gammaproteobacteria; Enterobacterales; Enterobacteriaceae.
GGUUAAGCGACUAAGCGUACACGGUGGAUGCCCUGGCAGUCAGAGGCGAUGAAGGACGUGCUAAUCUGCGAUAAGCGCCGGUAAGGUGAUAUGAACCGUUAUAACCGGCGAUUUCCGAAUGGGGAAACCCAGUGUGAUUCGUCACACUAUCAUUAACUGAAUCCAUAGGUUAAUGAGGCGAACCGGGGGAACUGAAACAUCUAAGUACCCCGAGGAAAAGAAAUCAACCGAGAUUCCCCCAGUAGCGGCGAGCGAACGGGGAGGAGCCCAGAGCCUGAAUCAGCAUGUGUGUUAGUGGAAGCGUCUGGAAAGGCGCGCGAUACAGGGUGACAGCCCCGUACACAAAAGCGCAUGUGCUGUGAGCUCGAUGAGUAGGGCGGGACACGUGGUAUCCUGUCUGAAUAUGGGGGGACCAUCCUCCAAGGCUAAAUACUCCUGACUGACCGAUAGUGAACCAGUACCGUGAGGGAAAGGCGAAAAGAACCCCGGCGAGGGGAGUGAAAAAGAACCUGAAACCGUGUACGUACAAGCAGUGGGAGCCCCACCACUAAGCCAGUGGUGAACUCCACAUACGCAUCCUUUGCUGAGGAUACGGUUAACGGAGCGAAAGCGACGUUCAACCGCAAAAGAAGCAGAGGGGGCUUAGUGGUGGGGUGACUGCGUACCUUUUGUAUAAUGGGUCAGCGACUUAUAUUCUGUAGCAAGGUUAACCGAAUAGGGGAGCCGCAGGGAAACCGAGUCUUAAUUGGGCGUUAAGUUGCAGGGUAUAGACCCGAAACCCGGUGAUCUAGCCAUGGGCAGGUUGAAGGUUGGGUAACACUAACUGGAGGACCGAACCGACUAAUGUUGAAAAAUUAGCGGAUGACCUGUGGCUGGGGGUGAAAGGCCAAUCAAACCGGGAGAUAGCUGGUUCUCCCCGAAAGCUAUUUAGGUAGCGCCUCGUGAAUUCAUCUCCGGGGGUAGAGCACUGUUUCGGCUAGGGGGCCAUCCCGGCUUACCAACCCGAUGCAAACUGCGAAUACCGGAGAAUGUUAUCACGGGAGACACACGGCGGGUGCUAACGUCCGUCGUGAAGAGGGAAACAACCCAGACCGCCAGCUAAGGUCCCAAAGUCAUGGUUAAGUGGGAAACGAUGUGGGAAGGCCCAGACAGCCAGGAUGUUGGCUUAGAAGCAGCCAUCAUUUAAAGAAAGCGUAAUAGCUCACUGGUCGAGUCGGCCUGCGCGGAAGAUGUAACGGGGCUAAACCAUGCACCGAAGCUGCGGCAGCGACGCUGAUGCGUUGUUGGGUAGGGGAGCGUUCUGUAAGCCUGUGAAGGUGUGUCGUGAGGCAUGCUGGAGGUAUCAGAAGUGCGAAUGCUGACAUAAGUAACGAUAAAGCGGGUGAAAAGCCCGCUCGCCGGAAGACCAAGGGUUCCUGUCCAACGUUAAUCGGGGCAGGGUGAGUCGACCCCUAAGGCGAGGCCGAAAGGCGUAGUCGAUGGGAAACGGGUUAAUAUUCCCGUACUUGGUGUUACUGCGAAGGGGGGACGGAGAAGGCUAUGUUGGCCGGGCGACGGUUGUCCCGGUUUAAGCGUGUAGGUGUGUGUUCCAGGUAAAUCCGGUUCACUUUAACACUGAGGCGUGAUGACGAGGCACUACGGUGCUGAAGCAACAAAUGCCCUGCUUCCAGGAAAAGCCUCUAAGCAUCAGGUAACAUCAAAUCGUACCCCAAACCGACACAGGUGGUCAGGUAGAGAAUACCAAGGCGCUUGAGAGAACUCGGGUGAAGGAACUAGGCAAAAUGGUGCCGUAACUUCGGGAGAAGGCACGCUGACACGUAGGUGAAGUGAUUUACUCAUGGAGCUGAAGUCAGUCGAAGAUACCAGCUGGCUGCAACUGUUUAUUAAAAACACAGCACUGUGCAAACACGAAAGUGGACGUAUACGGUGUGACGCCUGCCCGGUGCCGGAAGGUUAAUUGAUGGGGUCAGCGCAAGCGAAGCUCCUGAUCGAAGCCCCGGUAAACGGCGGCCGUAACUAUAACGGUCCUAAGGUAGCGAAAUUCCUUGUCGGGUAAGUUCCGACCUGCACGAAUGGCGUAAUGAUGGCCAGGCUGUCUCCACCCGAGACUCAGUGAAAUUGAACUCGCUGUGAAGAUGCAGUGUACCCGCGGCAAGACGGAAAGACCCCGUGAACCUUUACUAUAGCUUGACACUGAACAUUGAGCCUUGAUGUGUAGGAUAGGUGGGAGGCUUUGAAGUGUGGACGCCAGUCUGCAUGGAGCCGACCUUGAAAUACCACCCUUUAAUGUUUGAUGUUCUAACGUGGACCCGUAAUCCGGGUUGCGGACAGUGUCUGGUGGGUAGUUUGACUGGGGCGGUCUCCUCCUAAAGAGUAACGGAGGAGCACGAAGGUUGGCUAAUCCUGGUCGGACAUCAGGAGGUUAGUGCAAUGGCAUAAGCCAGCUUGACUGCGAGCGUGACGGCGCGAGCAGGUGCGAAAGCAGGUCAUAGUGAUCCGGUGGUUCUGAAUGGAAGGGCCAUCGCUCAACGGAUAAAAGGUACUCCGGGGAUAACAGGCUGAUACCGCCCAAGAGUUCAUAUCGACGGCGGUGUUUGGCACCUCGAUGUCGGCUCAUCACAUCCUGGGGCUGAAGUAGGUCCCAAGGGUAUGGCUGUUCGCCAUUUAAAGUGGUACGCGAGCUGGGUUUAGAACGUCGUGAGACAGUUCGGUCCCUAUCUGCCGUGGGCGCUGGAGAACUGAGGGGGGCUGCUCCUAGUACGAGAGGACCGGAGUGGACGCAUCACUGGUGUUCGGGUUGUCAUGCCAAUGGCACUGCCCGGUAGCUAAAUGCGGAAGAGAUAAGUGCUGAAAGCAUCUAAGCACGAAACUUGCCCCGAGAUGAGUUCUCCCUGAGACUUUAAGUCUCCUGAAGGAACGUUGAAGACGACGACGUUGAUAGGCCGGGUGUGUAAGCGCAGCGAUGCGUUGAGCUAACCGGUACUAAUGAACCGUGAGGCUUAACCUU